RNAcentral lists this ribosomal RNA (1237 nucleotides) under Microbacterium oxydans. RNAcentral describes it as "bacterial SSU rRNA". It matches the Rfam family "Bacterial small subunit ribosomal RNA", at positions 219 to 1462 of the family's 1533-position model. Lineage: Bacteria; Bacillati; Actinomycetota; Actinomycetes; Micrococcales; Microbacteriaceae. The record is from RNAcentral.
UUGAAGGGGGGCUGCCGGCCUCCAAGCUUGUUGGUGAGAUAAUGGUUCCCAAAGGCGUGCACGGGUAGCCGCCCUGAGAAGGUGACCGGCCACUCUGGGACUGAUGAAACGGCCCAAACUCUUACGGGAGGCGAGCAGUGGGGGAUAUUGCCCAAUGGGCCCAAGCCUGAUGCAGCAACGCGGCGUGGAGGACGACGGCUUUCGGGUUUGUAAACUCUUUUUAGCAGGAAGAAAGCGAAAAGGACGGUACCUGCAGAAAAGGCGCCGGCUAACUACGUGCCAGCAGCCGCGGUAAUACGUAGGGCCCAAGCGUUUUCCGGAAUUUUUGGGCGUAAAGAGCUUGUAGGCGGUUUGUCGCGUCUGCUGUGAAAUCCGGAGGCUCAACCUCCGGCCUGCAGUGGGUACGGGCAGACUAGAGUGCGGUAGGGGAGAUUGGAAUUCCUGGUGUAGCGGUGGAAUGCGCAGAUAUCAGGAGGAACACCGAUGGCGAAGGCAGAUCUCUGGGCCGUAACUGACGCUGAGGAGCGAAAGGGUGGGGAGCAAACAGGCUUAGAUACCCUGGUAGUCCACCCCGUAAACGUUGGGAACUAGUUGUGGGGUCCAUUCCACGGAUUCCGUGACGCAGCUAACGCAUUAAGUUCCCCGCCUGGGGAGUACGGCCGCAAGGCUAAAACUCAAAGGAAUUGACGGGGACCCGCACAAGCGGCGGAGCAUGCGGAUUAAUUCGAUGCAACGCGAAGAACCUUACCAAGGCUUGACAUAUACGAGAACGGGCCAGAAAUGGUCAACUCUUUGGACACUCGUAAACAGGUGGUGCAUGGUUGUCGUCAGCUCGUGUCGUGAGAUGUUGGGUUAAGUCCCGCAACGAGCGCAACCCUCGUUCUAUGUUGCCAGCACGUAAUGGUGGGAACUCAUGGGAUACUGCCGGGGUCAACUCGGAGGAAGGUGGGGAUGACGUCAAAUCAUCAUGCCCCUUAUGUCUUGGGCUUCACGCAUGCUACAAUGGCCGGUACAAAGGGCUGCAAUACCGCGAGGUGGAGCGAAUCCCAAAAAGCCGGUCCCAGUUCGGAUUGAGGUCUGCAACUCGACCUCAUGAAGUCGGAGUCGCUAGUAAUCGCAGAUCAGCAACGCUGCGGUGAAUACGUUCCCGGGUCUUGUACACACCGCCCGUCAAGUCAUGAAAGUCGGUAACACCUGAAGCCGGUGGCCUAACCCUUGUGGAGGGAGCCGUUGAAAG